Long non-coding RNA from Mytilus californianus (California mussel), 858 nucleotides. RefSeq lists it as uncharacterized. NCBI's taxonomy places the organism in Eukaryota, Metazoa, Mollusca, Bivalvia, Mytilida, Mytilidae. The transcript has 2 exons. The record is from RefSeq and is a predicted model, not a curated record.
GAAACAUGUAAAAACAAAAUGGAUCGUAGUUGUAAAUGUGUGCUAUCUCAUACUUGACACCAUUGCCUAUGCAUGGUUAGUUUUGCUUGAGAAAAAGAUAAUCGAGUUCUAAACAGAAGCUUUAGAGCCUGGAAUGAAAUUGGCUGUCACCCUUCGCUAUCUCACAAAUGGCGCUUUUUAUGCAGAGCUCAUGUAUUCAUUUCGAGUGACUAAAAACACCAUUAGCUUGUUCAUUCCAAAAGUAUUGGAAGCUGUAAUAUAUAAGUACUUAGAAGAGGUGACGCCAGCCGUCGGGACAUCCGAACAGUGGCAAUAGCUUGCCGAUGACUUACAAGCCAAAUGGAACUUUCCUCAUGCAUGUGGAGGAGCACUGGAUGGCAAGCACGUGAGGAUAAAGUGCACACAGGACUCUGGUACCCUGUACUGCAACUACAAAGGUUUUUUCUCAAUCAAACUACUCGCCCUCGACGACGCAGACUACAAUUUCGUAUGGGUCAGUGUUGGUGCUAAUGGAAGUGCGCCCGACUCUCAACUAUUCAACUAUUCUGAACUAAGGACUUUGAUUGAGGAAAACACCCACUGCCCGGCGAUAAGAAGUUCACACCACACCUUAUGAUUGAAUAUGAUGCAUUCCCAUUGAGAACCUGGAUAAAGCCAUACUACUGACGUAACCUAACCGAGGUUCAGCAGGUUCAGUUGAGAGACAAGAGAGUAUGAAAUAGUUCAGCCAUUUUAUUAUACAGAUACUUGUAGUUUCAUCGUAAAACCGCUGAUGUUAUUAAUUUAGGAUGACAUCUCUUUCUCAUGUGUUAUUAAAUUGUCAAGAUUAAUUGUUUUGAAAUAAAGGUAAUUAUGUUU